This is a long non-coding RNA of Arabidopsis thaliana (thale cress), 290 nucleotides long. RefSeq annotates it as other RNA. The record is from RefSeq. Lineage: Eukaryota; Viridiplantae; Streptophyta; Magnoliopsida; Brassicales; Brassicaceae. The transcript has a single exon.
CAUAGGUUAAUCAAAAAGUUAUGAUCUUGAAGAUUGAGCAGACGUAUACGCAAAACACGAAGCGAAUUACAGGUUUGAAUAAGCUCUCCGGUAGAAUUAGAGAAAUCACAUUCGCUUUUACGUGUACUGAUUUGGUGAACAUAGACGAUUCAUACGCAUUGGUUUUUGAUCAUAAGCUGAAACAUAGAUUUACAACAAUGGAGAGUGAAUCAUCAGAAAUUGCAGACCUGAUCCAGAUUGCUAAAUCAGAUGCCGAGGUAAGCUCUUGGUUCUGGGCACGUGUGAUGAAG